Cinara cedri is the source of this 316-nucleotide non-coding RNA. The record is from the annotation of a GenBank genome assembly. NCBI's taxonomy places the organism in Eukaryota, Metazoa, Arthropoda, Insecta, Hemiptera, Aphididae.
UCGAGACCUGUCCCACUACUUUCCCUCGUACUCUUGCCAAUUCUCCACCACCCCGUACCGCUAUUUCUCCUCCUCCACUUCCUGCUACCUCUCCUCUCCGAUCGGACGUUGUAUUAUCAUCGGCGUUGAUACGCGUGUACUCAUCAUUUUUCGGUAUAUCACGAGAUUUUCAAGGGACCGACAGAGUUGUUGUAUUAGUUGUAUCGCGGGUUGACUGUACAACAAUCUACAAGUUAAAAACUAUUAUUUACAAACACGACGACGGUAAAAUUCGUAUGUUUAAUGAAUAAUUUAAUAUUUUGCCGCGAGACGUUAA